Molecule: ribosomal RNA, 256 nt
Filed under: uncultured bacterium
Lineage: Bacteria
Description: partial 16S ribosomal RNA
Rfam family: Bacterial small subunit ribosomal RNA
Source: RNAcentral
CGGGACGGGUGAGUAACGCGUGGAUAACCUGCCUUACACAGGGGGAUAACGCUUAGAAAUAGGCGCUAAUACCGCAUAAGCGCACAGCCUCGCAUGAGGGAGUGUGAAAAGCCUCGGCGGUGUAAGAUGGAUCCGCGUCUGAUUAGCCAGUUGGCGGGGUGACGGCCCACCAAAGCGACGAUCAGUAGCCGGCCUGAGAGGGUGGACGGCCACAUUGGGACUGAGACACGGCCCAGACUCCUACGGGAGGCAGCAG